This is a long non-coding RNA of Thalassophryne amazonica, 133 nucleotides long. RefSeq lists it as uncharacterized. The record is from RefSeq and is a predicted model, not a curated record. The transcript is spliced from 2 exons. Lineage: Eukaryota; Metazoa; Chordata; Actinopteri; Batrachoidiformes; Batrachoididae.
GAUAAAGUUACAGAAACCUAAUGAAUAAUGGAAAUACAACAUUCAGAGGACGGAGAGAACCAAGGGAUGAAAGAGGUUCAGAGAGGAGGGUUUGGGAAAGGACAAAAUAUAAUGAGUGUGAAAACCACUUUAA